This 482-nucleotide ribosomal RNA is filed under the name uncultured bacterium. RNAcentral describes it as "partial 16S ribosomal RNA". It matches the Rfam family "Bacterial small subunit ribosomal RNA", at positions 28 to 507 of the family's 1533-position model. The record is from RNAcentral.
GAUGAACGCUAGCGGCAGGCCUAAUACAUGCAAGUCGAACGAGAUUAAGAGGCUUGCUUCUUAUGAAAGUGGCGCACGGGUGCGUAACGCGUAUGCAACCUACCUUAAUCAGGGGGGUAGCCCGAAGAAAUUCGGAUUAAGACCGCAUAAAAACACAGGAUAGCAUUAUCCAAUGUUCAAAUAUUUAUAGGAUUAAGAUGGGCAUGCGUGUCAUUAGCUAGUUGGCGGGGUAACGGCCCACCAAGGCGACGAUGACUAGGGGAUCUGAGAGGAUGACCCCCCACACUGGUACUGAGACACGGACCAGACUCCUACGGGAGGCAGCAGUAAGGAAUAUUGGUCAAUGGAGGGAACUCUGAACCAGCCAUGCCGCGUGCAGGAAGACAGCCCUCUGGGUCGUAAACUGCUUUUAUUCGGGAAUAAACCUUUCUACGUGUAGGAAGCUGAAUGUACCGAAGGAAUAAGGAUCGGCUAACUCCGUG